AUUUCAUAGGUUACAAUCAUCCAUGGAGAUCUAAGUGCCUUCCAGAAGGAAAUGGAAACAGUUCAUCUCGUAGUUCGUAGUCUGGAGACAAAGCUUGGACGCCUAGCUUAUACUCAAGAUCGGACAACACGAGGAAUAUAUGAUUUGUGUGAAUUCACUAAAAGAUUGGAUCAGAGCCCGAAAGCUGAUACUCGUCAGGCAAG
RNA transcript from Zea mays, 203 nucleotides. RefSeq lists it as uncharacterized. The transcript has 3 exons. The record is from RefSeq and is a predicted model, not a curated record. Lineage: Eukaryota; Viridiplantae; Streptophyta; Magnoliopsida; Poales; Poaceae.